GACGAACGCUGGCGGCGUGCUUAACACAUGCAAGUCGAACGGAAAGGCCUUUUCGGAGGUACUCGAGUGGCGAACGGGUGAGUAACACGUGGGUGAUCUGCCCUGUACUCUGGGAUAAGCCUGGGAAACUGGGUCUAAUACCGGAUAGGACCGCACUUUAGUGUGUGUGGUGGAAAGUUGUUUCGGUGUAGGAUGAGCCCGCGGCCUAUCAGCUUGUUGGUGGGGUAAUGGCCUACCAAGGCGGCGACGGGUAGCCGGACUGAGAGGUUGGUCGGCCACAUUGGGACUGAGAUACGGCCCAGACUCCUACGGGAGGCAGCAGUGGGGAAUAUUGCACAAUGGGCGCAAGCCUGAUGCAGCGACGCCGCGUGGGGGAUGACGGCCUUCGGGUUGUAAACUCCUUUCGCCAGGGACGAAGCGUUUUGUGACGGUACCUGGAGAAGAAGCACCGGCUAACUACGUG
This 463-nucleotide ribosomal RNA is filed under the name uncultured bacterium. Its description in RNAcentral is "partial 16S ribosomal RNA". It matches the Rfam family "Bacterial small subunit ribosomal RNA", at positions 28 to 507 of the family's 1533-position model. The record is from RNAcentral.